GGUGGCUAAGUGGUAGAGUGCUUGCCUUGCAUGCAUGAAGCCCUGGGUUCGAUUCCUCAGCACCA
RNAcentral lists this transfer RNA (65 nucleotides) under Dipodomys ordii (Ord's kangaroo rat). It matches the Rfam family "tRNA". From Rfam's summary of the family: Transfer RNA (tRNA) molecules are approximately 80 nucleotides in length. Their secondary structure includes four short double-helical elements and three loops (D, anti-codon, and T loops). The record is from Rfam by way of RNAcentral. Lineage: Eukaryota; Metazoa; Chordata; Mammalia; Rodentia; Heteromyidae.